RNAcentral lists this long non-coding RNA (588 nucleotides) under Triticum aestivum (bread wheat). RNAcentral's name for it is "long non-coding RNA (TAES_LNC020264)". Lineage: Eukaryota; Viridiplantae; Streptophyta; Magnoliopsida; Poales; Poaceae. The record is from RNAcentral.
ACAGACUACACGAACAUUAGUCAAUUAGGGCGCGAAAUGCAUAGCUACAUCUAUUUGGAUUCUCAUUCUCAGAAUAUUGCAGCUAGCUCACUGUUAAACCCUCACACCUGAUCCCUGGGUAAAAGAACAGCAAAUUCCCAGAUUCCCACUUCUAGAUCUGAUCCCUCAAAUGCCCCAUCAGACAUCAGCAGUUUCCAAAUUUCCCUAGAAACUUAAGAGGCAGAUGAAGUAAGAAAACGGGCGUACAUCUGAUCGAGCUGCUUGUUGACCUCCUCGACCUCUUCGAGAUCCGUGAGCAGCUGCCGCACGAUGGUGCCAUACGUGAGCGUGAAGAGCUCCGCAUUAUGCAGAACAACACAACCAGAUCAGCGCGGGGCGCAGAUGUACGGGAGGCCAGGGGGAGGGGGCGGGGGGUGGGCUGUGGUUUGGAAGCUUACUAUGCGCUCGACGCUGGCGAAGAGGGCAUCACCGGACUUGGGGGUCGUGAGAGGCGGCAUCGCCGAGAUCGGGGCCGGUGGCGAGAGAGAACAGAGAGAACCACUUGCAGAGUCGCCGGUCUCUAGUACUUUGGUUAUAGGCCAGUUUGGG